RNAcentral lists this long non-coding RNA (485 nucleotides) under Oryza brachyantha (malo sina). RNAcentral's name for it is "long non-coding RNA (OBRA_LNC002190)". Lineage: Eukaryota; Viridiplantae; Streptophyta; Magnoliopsida; Poales; Poaceae. The record is from RNAcentral.
CCAAAAGUUUUCAAAUGUAUGUACCACAUACUAUUUAGCAUUUUUUGUGUUGUUUGCGUAAACAGAUAGGCAUGCCUACUGAAAUAGAGUGGAAUCCAAAAAGAAAAAAAAAGGAAGAAGAAACAAAGGCAGUAAAACAAUAUAAUUGAAACUCGACAAUAGUCCAACCCUUUUUGGAGCAUAUUGUCAUCUUUUUAGUGCACUUCAGCUAAAAAAAGGUAUGUCAUAUUUGGUUUGGAGAAAUUUCAUGGGAAUUUUGGAGGAAAGAAUUGUUUCCUGUGAAAAUACUGUAAAAUUCAUGAUGGCCGAUGGAACUAUGAAACUUAAAUAUAAUGGAUUUUACGUAAACAUGGGACUCCUUGAAACAAAUUACAAUAUCCAGGUUUUGCGUUACAUAUGCCAUAAAACCUGUUGUUUUGUGAAUUUUACUCUUUAAAGAACCUUAUAUUACCUCUAUCUUUUAUUGGCAGGAAUUUUGAGUGCAU